RNAcentral lists this ribosomal RNA (1204 nucleotides) under uncultured dinoflagellate. RNAcentral describes it as "SSU rRNA". It matches the Rfam family "Eukaryotic small subunit ribosomal RNA", at positions 577 to 1831 of the family's 1831-position model. Lineage: Eukaryota; Dinophyceae. The record is from RNAcentral.
CGGUAAUUCCAGCUCCAAUAGCGUAUAUUAAAAUUGUUGCGGUUAAAACGCUCGUAGUUGGAUAUUUGUCAAGGACUGCCGGUCUACCCUAGCGGUCAGCACUCGGUAUGUCCUCGGCAUUUUCCUGGAGACAGUGUUCGCUCUUAAUUGAGUGGCACAUGAACCAGAACUUCUACUUUGAGGAAAUGAGAGUGUUUCAAGCAGGCGUACGUCGUGAAUACGUUAGCAUGGAAUAAUAGCAUAGGACCCCGGUCUGAAGCUGUUGGUUUUUGGGCCGAGGUAAUGAAAAUAGGGAUAGUUGGGGGCAUUCGUAUUUAACUGUCAGAGGUGAAAUUCUUAGAUUUUUUAAAGACGGACUACUGCGAAAGCAUCUGCCCAGGAUGUUUUUAUUAAUCAAGAACGAAAGUUAGGGGAUCGAAGACGAUCAGAUACCGUCCUAGUCUUAACCUUAAACCAUGCCGACUAGAGAUUGGGGUCGUCAGCACUUUGACGCCUUCAGCAACUUGAGAGAAAUCAAAGUCUUUGGGUUCCGGGGGGAGUAUGGUCGCAAGGCUGAAACUUAAAGGAAUUGACGGAAGGGCACCACCAGGAGUGGAGCCUGCGGCUUAAUUUGACUCAACACGGGGAAACUUACCAGGUCCAGACAUAGAGAGGAUUGACAGACUGAUAGCUCUUUCUUGAUUCUAUGGGUGGUGGUGCGUGGCCGUUCUUAGUGGGUGGAGUGAUUUGUCUGGUUAAUUCCGUUAACGAACGAGACCUUAACAUGUUAAAUAGUUUCCAGAUCCGCUCGGUGUCAGGAUGACUUAUUAGAGGGACUUUAUGUCAUAACAUGAGGAAGUGCGAGGCAAUAUCAGGUCUGUGAUGCCCUUGGAUGUUCUGGGCCGCACGCGCGCUACAGUGAUGCGUCCAACGAGCUCCCAACCUAGUCCGGAAGGAACGGGUAACCUUGUGAAAGCGCAUCGUGAUGGGGAUAGAUUAUUGCAAUUUUUAAUCUGGAGCGAGGAAUUCAUAGUAAGCUCAUGUCAUCAGCUUGUGUUGAUUACGUCCCUGCCCUUUGUACACACCUCCCGUCGCUCGUACCGAUUGUGUGAUCCGGUGAAUUAUUUGGAGUGCAGUUUAAGUAGUUCUACUCAAAGUGCGGAAAAUAUCAUAAACCUUAUCGAUGAGAGGAAGGAGAAGUCGUAACAAGGUAUACCGUAAGGGU